CGCAAGAUUAAAACUCAAAUGAAUUGACGGGGGCCCGCACAAGCGGUGGAGCAUGUGGUUUAAUUCGAUGCAACGCGAAGAACCUUACCUACUCUUGACAUCCAGAGAAUCUAGCGGAGACGCUGGAGUGCCUUCGGGAACUCUGAGACAGGUGCUGCAUGGCUGUCGUCAGCUCGUGUUGUGAAAUGUUGGGUUAAGUCCCGCAACGAGCGCAACCCUUAUCCUUGUUUGCCAGCGAGUAAUGUCGGGAACUCCAGGGAGACUGCCGGUGAUAAACCGGAGGAAGGUGGGGACGACGUCAAGUCAUCAUGGCCCUUACGAGUAGGGCUACACACGUGCUACAAUGGCGCAUACAGAGGGCGGCCAACUUGCGAAAGUGAGCGAAUCCCAAAAAGUGCGUCGUAGUCCGGAUUGGAGUCUGCAACUCGACUCCAUGAAGUCGGAAUCGCUAGUAAUCGUGGAUCAGAAUGCCACGGUGAAUACGUUCCCGGGCCUUGUACACACCGCCCGUCACACCAUGGGAGUGGGCUGCAAAAGAAGUGGGUAGUUUAACCUUCGGGAGGACGCUCA
This 570-nucleotide ribosomal RNA is filed under the name Vibrio sp. Its description in RNAcentral is "bacterial SSU rRNA". It matches the Rfam family "Bacterial small subunit ribosomal RNA", at positions 887 to 1456 of the family's 1533-position model. The record is from RNAcentral. Lineage: Bacteria; Pseudomonadati; Pseudomonadota; Gammaproteobacteria; Vibrionales; Vibrionaceae.